Long non-coding RNA from Triticum dicoccoides, 1302 nucleotides. RefSeq lists it as uncharacterized. The record is from RefSeq and is a predicted model, not a curated record. Lineage: Eukaryota; Viridiplantae; Streptophyta; Magnoliopsida; Poales; Poaceae. The transcript is spliced from 2 exons.
GCCAUCCACAGGCUUCGCCGAGCCGCUAUCCCCACCUCCCUCCUCCUCUGCCACGAUUCCCCUCCCGCAGAUCCACCUUCUUCUCUUCCAGGGUGCGCCGCCCGAUCCCCACUGGGUUUCUUCCCAUACCGACGCCGCCCCACCCUCAACCCGCUUCUUGCCCCGUCGACGCCGCCCCAUCCCCAUCCGGCUUCUCCCACGCCAGUUCCGCCGCCGCCAGGCAACGACCUUCCCGCGCCCAACUCCUCCUCCUCCCUGUGGUCAUGGUGCCACCACGUCCCGUCUGGUGCGCUUGAUGCUCCGCCUUCCCCUUCCCAGACCGGAGUUGCAUCCACGGCGGUCACAUCGUGCCACCACCAACCUCGGCUGCCAGGGUCCCUCGUCCCCUUCCAUGGCGAGUUGUGCCUCGCGUGGAACUCGGACCACCCCACCACCAGAUCCAUCCAGGGGAGGCAGAGGGGCUCCGGGCCACCGCCGGCCACACGCGGCCACCACCUCCAUGAAGGUGUGCUCCAGACCGCCACCGCCGGCGCCGCACCCUUGCCUUCCCCGCUGGAUCUAGCCUCGCCAGCGGUCAAGGCCACGGGCAUAGAGGAGGAAGGAAAAGUUCUCCUAUCCGGCCCCGCUCCCUGCCAGCACCGAUCUGGUACCCCUCCCCCAAGCCGUACCACGACGAGUUCUUCCCUGUGUGCUAGUGCUUGUGUACUGCAUCGACUGCGGUAGCCAAAAUCACCAGUCGCCGUUCAGUCGAUGGCCACGCCCGGCCUUUUCCUACUGCUUCGUCUGAGGCGAGGACGGCUUCCUCUCUCUGCCAUGUCAAGCUCCGACAUCCACUACCUGCGCCCGGAGUGCAAACUCCCCGGAGUGCAAACUCCCUUCGCAAGGAGCGAGGUCCAAUCCUGGCGGGCACGCGAUAUUGUACGAUGCGCGUGGCCGUGCAGUGCAGUUGACGCCCCGUGUGCAGCUCACUUACGUGGUCUGAUAAAAAAAAUUAGUUUUGUGCACCAGUGCAGUGCGCAUCAUCUUUUUUUAGAAAAAGUAGUGCGCAUCAUCUAGUUCCAUCUCUCACUUCUUGCCGGCGUAUAUGGACCAGGUGGUGCUUUCUAUUGACCGUGAGCGCCGUGCAUAGGGCACAUGGCCCAUCACCGCCGACCCUCAGCGGUCUAAUGUAAUUUUACAGUGAAAAUGUUUGUGCUCUUUUUUACAAUAUAGGUGCAGUUCGUUGUAAAUCCCUCUAUUGUUCACUUUGUGAAAAAAGAGAGAGAAAAUAAUUGCAUCGAUAUUGUAGUGCGAUUUUGGUUC